GAAGGGGUGUCUGAACGUUCUGAGGGGGGCUCCGGCUUCUUGGAGGGGGUCACACCCAGAUUUUCGUGGAAUGUCUGCUGAUCACAGAAAUUAUUUCAGAUGUUCCCCAAAGUGCAAACCCAAUUGUCACUCAGACAUAAAAAUUUAACACCCUAUCUCAAAAGUGGGAGCGACUUACCACAUUGGGACAGCGGGCUUCUGAACACGGAGACGGAGACAGAGAAGCGGCAGGAUUGGAUUUUGUGAUCUUUUUUCCUUGCUGGGAAGUAAAUCUAAUUCCACGUGCGACUGCAGUGACAAUGCAUGGGCACUUGAGACUAUCCCAGAAGAAAUGAAACUACUGAAAUCAAUGAUGAUGUAGCUAUUCACCCGUGGCCAAAAUAGCUCUUGGCCAUUUGCACGAGGUUAGAUCUCACUGAAGUCUGAGAAGUGAGGGAAUUAAGGUGAGCACAGGUUUACAAAGGAAAUCAGAGGUUAUGACUAAACCGGGACUUCUUUUUAUCGUAUUUAAAAAUCACUGAGAAAUACCAGCUUCAAUGAAGCUGUGAAGACAUAGCUUUGCACUUGAGGUAUCUGUACAUCAUAACAAAUACCCCGUAAGUGCCUGUAAGUCAGGGGAGACUGAGGAGCUAUAUUCCUCAGCAAUGCCUGGAAUAUGGGACAGCCUCUGAGUACAAAUGACCCAACUCAUGCUGCUGCUGAAUGCAAGGAUUGCCAGGGCGACUGCUCUACCCCACCCUCGAGUAGACUAGCAGACUGGAUAACUACAGAUAUUCUUUGCACCCCGAGUACAGAAGUCCUAUAAACUUUCCCGAGAUGGAUCAUGUAGCAAUGCAAAUUGAA
This is a long non-coding RNA of Felis catus (domestic cat), 843 nucleotides long. RefSeq lists it as uncharacterized. The record is from RefSeq and is a predicted model, not a curated record. The transcript is spliced from 2 exons. Lineage: Eukaryota; Metazoa; Chordata; Mammalia; Carnivora; Felidae.